Molecule: long non-coding RNA, 2250 nt
Organism: Bactrocera neohumeralis
Lineage: Eukaryota; Metazoa; Arthropoda; Insecta; Diptera; Tephritidae
Exons: 4
Source: RefSeq, a predicted model, not a curated record
UCGUGAAGAUCAGCGCGCUGAAGUCGCCGGUUUGCUACUUACUAUACUACAUAUAAUAUGACUAUAAAAUUUACAUACCAAACCACUCGGAACACAAUUCUGUUUUCUAAAACAAUAAGUGUGUACAACGUUCGUGCGCUGAUCGGAUUAGCAAUUUAGUGAACGCAUACUCGCGAGCGUGUACCGAACAGCGGUGCAGUAGUACAAUAAGUGAGCGCCUGAGUAAGCGCUGGCGAUGACAUCAAUGGAGUGAGCGCAGUUCGUGCGCCUCGAUGGGACGCUCGCUGUAGUUACCUGUCGCUUUGGCCACGUCUGCUACGAUCAGUUGAACGACAGCUAGCAACAAGUCCGCUUGUUAGCCAAGCGUAGCGGAUGUCUACUAAGUUUGUUCAGCCAACAAGUAUGACUACAAACAGUAUACUUUGUGCAUGUUUUAAACAUUGGAGGCUGACUAUUUGAGAUGAUCGUGUCGGCUUAUUUUACCGAACAGUGUUGCUAACCAGACUCAGGCAGUUUCAGUGCUAAAUAAAUAAAUACAACCAAACAGUGCUUUAAAUAUCUGCAAAAAAAAAACACUAAAGACUGAAAACAUAAUAAAAUAAAACAUUGGAAAAAUGCCACUUAGUUAACACUCAGGUGCGAAUUGGAAGCAGACCAAAAAGAAAGAAGUUCGAGAAGCCAAAAAAAUGUGAUCGCCUGAGUUGUGAUGAGCUGGAAUGGAGGCAAUGAAAGCAAUGAAAGCAAACAACAACAGUACUAAUUUAUUAGCUGAUUCAAGUUUUGUUGCUUUGUAGUGUUUGUCGAACUGUUAAAAAGCCUCGAGUAAACACCAAAGGCCAGACUACUAGUACACGGACCAGAAUAACACAAAGUCAACAGAAUUUUAGUGGGCCGGCAAAUGAACUGAACUGGCGGCAGGCAGUCAAAAGCCGCGAAUCGACACCAUUGUUUUGUGUUGGUAUUUGCGUUGGAAUUAAGCGACAACAGCCGAAAGUCAACAGUUAUGAAUUGAACAGUUACGUAGCCAAAUCGAAUAUUUCGAAGAGGAGCUCCCGUUGAAGAACAAUUUGGUCGAAGUAAAAUUACUUUCACGUGGGCAUAUUUUGUACAAAUACAACCAUUUGAUGACAUGCUACAUAUGUAUACAUUAACAGUACCGUCGUUAGCGCAAAAUAUGGAAAUUACAAAAAAUUGCAGUGCUGAAUCUUACCACCAACAGACGCAUUGCUCAUUUUCUCUGCUUUGGAAAUAUGAGCUCUUACUGUUAAACGCGCAUAUGCUCCCGUGUGCCUACCGAGAACUGUCAGUUGACUCCUGUCAAAAAGUUGACAAAAAAGAUAAGCUAUACUCUUUUGUUUUUGGUAGCUCUGUUGCAGUCAGUUAUUGCUGCCUGCUGUCAGUUCUUGUCAAUUUUCGUCCUUGACUGAAGCUGGUGCGAAACUUGAGCCUCCAGCCCGAAAAAGUUGACGUUGAAGUGUGAUGCUCUGGACACAGCGAAAAUAUUUUGUGUUCCGCACGUAUGAGAAAAAAGCAAACAUCCACCGUUGCCUGCAGUCCACCAUUGGCAGCCGCAAGUGAUUAGAGACAACUGACGGAUGGAAUUCCUGGCUGUAAGCGCCAUCGGCAUUUUGAGGCAGCUGCUGUUGAAUCAGAGCCCCGCUCAUUACUGCGGUCCAUUGCUCGUGCUGCUGAGGUCUUCUAGUUACUGCAGACUCAGCCGGCUAGUCUAUCAUGUCGUAAGAAUCGACACACGACAACCAGAGUGAUUAGCUGCAGCGAAAGGAGAAGUCGUAUGUUGCUGCGAGCAGCAGAAACGUCAGCUGACGGCUACCAGAAACCGAAGUACCCGAUUGAAGCGAUUUGUUUGGCGAAACGCAUGCUAACUUGUUCCACCGCUUAUGCCAAACCGUCGGACUCCAUCGACUGACAUUAAUUGGCCAUUGAAGUGGCAGUUUCGUGAGCUUCGUGUAGUCAUACGCAUAAUUUGCCACACAAAGCGAAACAGUCGCUCAGUUGCCCAGCCAACAUCAAUCAAAAUGCAAAUUUGGGCUGUCACAACUGGCGAGUAAUAAGUGUCAAGCAGCAAAUGCGCGAUCGUUAAUGAUGCAAGAUGACGACAAAUAAAAUUAUUUGCCAAACAAGGACAGCUGCCGAAUACACGGACGCAAAUAUAUUUUUAAACAAAAAAAUUAAAUUUGUUGUUGUUAAAAGAGUUUAGUCGCUUUGAGAUUUAAAAGGCAACAUGAGGAU